GACAUGGGCAAAACAACAGAAGUACACAGACCAGGAGUAAACACUUAAAGCAUGCACUAAAGGUACAGGGGCCCGUUUCAGAAAGGUUAAGUGAAAACUCUGAGUAUGUUAACCCUGAAAUGAGGGAAACUCUGGGUUUUCAUCCAUAAUCUCAUCCAUCCUUACAUCAGAAACAUCAGCCAUCGUGGCCAUGCUCUUACAUCCGAGCAGUUGCUUUGCGUUGCCUUACGUUUCUUUACAAAUGGUAGUUUGCUGUAUAACAUCGGGGAUGCAGAACAUAUUAGUAAGGCUACUGUUUGCAGAGCGGUAAGGAAAGUGUGCCUUUGUGUUGUUUCCUGGGCACAAACCAGUGAGAGUCAUCAAAGAGGAGUUUCAUCGGAUUGCAGAUCAUAUGUGAUGCUGCACAUAUAAUCACAAAUGUGGAGGCCAAGUGGCCCGGCUCUGUUCAUGACUCAAGAAUGUAUCGGGAGUCAACCCUGAGCAACAGACUGGAAAGGGGAGAGAUUGAUGUCUUUCUGCUGGGAGAUUACCCAUGCCGACCAAAUCUUACCCCCUUACCCAGAACCUGAACCAGGCCCACAGCAGUGCUUCAAUGUGGCACACUGCAGGACGAGAGCCCGGGUGGAGAUGACCAUAGGCCUUUUGAAAGCACGUUCCCAGUGCCUACGUUACCUCAGGGUAACCCCUGAAAGGGCCUGCGACAUUAUUUUGGCAUGUGUUGUUCUCCAUAAUAUUGCCAUAAUUAGAGGGGAGCAACACCCUGCCCUACAAUUACAAGACCCUGAGGAAGACCCCAUCAACCCUGCAGAUUUCCAGGAUGGAAGGGUAGUCCGGGAUUUGAUAUUCUGCAAUGUCUUCUCAGAUUAAUCAUGAUAUCCACCACCACAAAAACAAAAAAACAAAAAUGAAUAAACACAAA
This is a long non-coding RNA of Micropterus salmoides (largemouth bass), 919 nucleotides long. RefSeq lists it as uncharacterized. The record is from RefSeq and is a predicted model, not a curated record. The transcript is spliced from 3 exons. NCBI's taxonomy places the organism in Eukaryota, Metazoa, Chordata, Actinopteri, Centrarchiformes, Centrarchidae.